GAUGAACGCUAGCGACAGGCCUAACACAUGCAAGUCGAGGGGCAGCACAUGAGUAGCAAUACGAUGGUGGCGACCGGCGCACGGGUGAGUAACACGUAUGCAACCUGCCUGUAAGAGGGGGAUAACCCGGAGAAAUUCGGACUAAUACCGCAUAAUACCACGAGACUGCAUGGUUUUGUGGUUAAACAUUUAUGGCUUACAGAUGGGCAUGCGUAUGAUUAGAUAGUUGGUAGGGUAACGGCCUACCAAGUCUACGAUCAUUAGGGGUUCUGAGAGGAAGGUCCCCCAACUGGUACUGAGACACGGACCAGACUCCUACGGGAGCAGCAGUGAGGAAUAUCGGUCAAGUGGGCGAGAGCCUGAACCAGCCAAGUCGCGUGAAGGAAGAAGGUUCUAUGGAUUGUAAACUUCUUUGCAGGGGAAUAAAGGACGGUACGUGUACUGUUUUGUAUGUACCUUGCGAAUAAGGAUCGGCUAACUCCGUGCCAGCAGCCCG
This 496-nucleotide ribosomal RNA is filed under the name uncultured bacterium. RNAcentral describes it as "bacterial SSU rRNA". It matches the Rfam family "Bacterial small subunit ribosomal RNA", at positions 28 to 517 of the family's 1533-position model. The record is from RNAcentral.